UCCUCUCACCACCACUCUCACUCUACCCAGUGAUGGCUGCUUAUGGAGCUGCCGUUUCUCUCAAGAACACAAUUCAGAGUCUUCUAGAAUCGUCUCGCAUCUCGCUGGUUCCUCCCUCUCCUGAUAUCUUACGAUCUGCAUAUGAUGCUAUGUGUUGCUUGCACAACGUUCUGAGCAAAUUGGACGAGACAGGCUACAGCAAGAUCAGGACGAAGGUGAACGCUUUUGAUGAACAAAUCAAAGACGCCAUAUGGGAAUUCGAAGAUUUACUCGAAUCGCACUACACUGAUCAGAUUCUUCCACAGCUUGAAAGCGAGAGAGAUCGCUUGCCUUUCUCUGUAGAUCUGCAGAGUCUGUGGCAGAGUGUUGAUCGCUUCAUCGAGAGGAUGGCUGUGAUGGAGGCAGAGUACGAUAUGGAGCUGGUGAAUAUGCCGGAAGAAGAAGGUGAACCUCUUUCCUCGAGAAUUGAUUUUGGAGGAAUUAACUCAGAGAUGGUUAAAUUGUCUAAGCAAUUUGAAGAAGUGAGGGAUUAUAUUCUUGCAAAAGCAGAACGAGAAGGUAAAUAUGCUAGAGUUAAUUGUUUAUUAUUAACUGGGAUGGCAGGGGUUGGAAAGACUACUCUUGUUAAGAAAGUAUUUGAUGAUCCCUCGAUUCAGACACAUUUCGAGCUUCGAGCAUGGGUCAAAGUAGGCAGAAAAUGUGAAUCCAACGAAACAUUACGAUGCAUUCUAGCUCAAGUGGAUCCCAGCAAUCGCGACCAAAUGCUAACCCAAAGAGACGAUGAUGAUAUCAAGAAAUUAGUUGGACUCUUGGAAGAGAGAUUGAAGGAUAAGAAAUGUCUCAUUGUGUUGGAUGAUGUAUGGCAAUGGGACACACGACUCAUGAGUACCUUGCAAGAAAAGAAUGUCCAAAUUUUGGUUACAAGCAGGCUGAGAAUUAAAGAUUCUCCAAGUUAUUGUGAUGUAAGAUUGUUGGAUAAAGAAGAAAGUAAGAGAUUACUUGGUGAGAAGGUAUUCGGUGAUAAAGGUUUCCCACCUUACCUUGAGGAAUUAGGAGAAAAGAUUGCACAAAAAUGUGAAGGUCUUCCACUUAUGAUAGUUACAGUUGCAGAUCUCCUAAGAAAAGCCAACAAGGGUACUGGGGAAGAGAUUGACAAAUGUACCCAAGAAUAUUGGACUGAGGUAGCCGAAAAACAACAAAGUUCAGUGUUUGUGGAUGCAUAUAAUCAAAUAUCAAAGGUAUUUUUCCCAAGCUAUGACUACUUACCACAAAUUUGGAAAAUGCUUUUUCUCUAUUUGGGAGCUUUCCUCCCAUAUACGAAUAUUGAUCCACAUGAUAUCAUGUGUUAUGUGAGUGCUGAGGGGUUUUGCGAACAAAUUGGGAAAAAAAAAUUGGAUGAUGAGGUUAUGGAUGGAUUGACGACUAGGGAAUUUUUUGUUUCCCAUACCCUGACAGAGCUUUCCUAUAAUUAUCAUCUUCUUCUAUAUGAUUUUGAUCCAGUAUCUUGGUUUUCAAAUAAAAAAUGUCGCUUGUGUAAGAAAGAAGCUAGUAAAAUCAAGUUUUUGCAUGUCUUACAAAGUUGCUAUGAAGAUAUGAAAGGACAGCGUCGGUUGUGUGCCCAUUCCAACACUUUAUUUGCUAUCAAAGAAGUCUAUGAUUCAAUAAAAAGUGAUUGUUCCUCCACAGUUCGUUCUCUCCUUUGUCAUGGUCCUAGCCACCCUUAUCCAGUGCCAAUACAUGCCAUGGAUUUUAAAUUGCUCAGGGUACUGAAUGCUCGUAAGGUACGAUUUUAUGAUAUCCCACCUGAAAUUCUAAAACUAGUUUGUCUAAAGUAUUUAGCCAUAAGUUGCAACAAAGAGCUCCCUGGUUCAAUUUCCACCCUUUUGCACCUUCAAUUCUUGAUUAUCAUUCGAUAUGUGGCCAUUAUAAAGCGUGGAGCUCUGCCAUAUAUGCCAUUGGAAAUAUGGAACAUGCAAAACCUACAACAUCUUAAUGUCAUGGGAAGAGACCUGCCAACCCCCAAUUCUAACUCCAAUGCUAUUUUGGACCGAGUCUCUUUUCUUAUAGGCGUGACUACAAAGAGUUGCACUAUGGAAAUUCUUAAAAGAAUCCCAAAUUUAAGGAGUUUAUCCAUGAUUAUGAUACAGAAGCCUUAUGAUGAAGACGAUGAUAGCAAUUCAUUGAGUGGCUUGGAUCAUAUCUCAAAGGAACUCCAGAAUUUGAAUAUUCUUUCAAUUGAUGUAUUGAACCCUGAUAUGAAGUGGGAGACUAUGGUUCCUCUUUCAAUGUUCCCAUCAAGUCUAACAACAUUGAAUUGACUGGUUUAGGGUAUCCUUGGCAGUACAUGAACGAGAUUGGUUUGAUGCUACCAAAUCUUAGGUACCUCGUACUAAAAGAGUAUGCCUUUCGAGGCCCAAAGUGGGAUCUAGAAUCAAGUUGUUUUUUGAAACUUAUGAAACUUGUAAUUGAAGACACUGAUUUGGUGGAAUUAAAAGCUCAACAAGGAAGCCUCCCUUGGCUUAAGCUCGUAAGUCUACGAUAUUGCUACAAAUUAAAACAUCUCGAUAGGUUGUGCUGUAACACAGGGGUAACACCUGUAAUUGAAUUAGUAGAUUGCAAUCCCUUAGUUUAUGCAUUUGUCGAGAAAUUUUCAGAAUCUUACAAUGUAAUAGUUCGUAGCCACCGUUCUUAUUUGUGAUGAGUACUCUCAACUUGGUUAACAGGCACAUGAGAAAAAAUAAUGGGUCAGAUGUCGCAUUAUCCCAUCAUUUCAAGUGAAUUGUGAUGUUGUUUCCUGAAUUCAAGGAUAGUAAUUUGUUGGAUUCUGUUUAGAAUUGUGAAACCUGAAUGUUGAAUUAUGUUUGUAACCAAAACUAUUGUCAGCUUAAAUUUCUGUUAAAACAUUACUUGCUUUUUUCCCACAUUCAA
Molecule: non-coding RNA, 2928 nt
Organism: Salvia hispanica
Lineage: Eukaryota; Viridiplantae; Streptophyta; Magnoliopsida; Lamiales; Lamiaceae
Source: RefSeq, a predicted model, not a curated record